CAGAAUAAUAAAGGGACGAAGCAGAAAAGAAAAUGAAGAAAUGAAUUCAUAAAUAACUUUUUUUUAGCCAUAUUAAAAAUCACACUUUGCUUUUGCGUCCUGCUGAUUACAUUUGUUUUUGUAUUUGUUUUCAGGGUUCAAAGCUAUGUUGCCCCCGCAAACGAGUGGAUCAGAUUAAGACUUCUGUCCAGUGUUGUGAAAAACCUGAAGGAGUGGGUGGAGUCAUAAUAUAUGAUAGGGAGACGUUCGCCAUGAACAAACACCACCUGGGGGCUGUUCCAUGGUGCGGUGAUGCGAACAAGGGCUGGACUGGGACGAUAAAUCUGCCCUCUACAAUCGGCCCACUACAUAAAAACAAAAUGCUACAUAUCUGUGCACGUCCUUGAAUAUGUUUACCAACUCCUAUU
This is a non-coding RNA of Danio rerio (zebrafish), 407 nucleotides long. Lineage: Eukaryota; Metazoa; Chordata; Actinopteri; Cypriniformes; Danionidae. The record is from RefSeq and is a predicted model, not a curated record.